This 471-nucleotide ribosomal RNA is filed under the name uncultured bacterium. Its description in RNAcentral is "bacterial SSU rRNA". It matches the Rfam family "Bacterial small subunit ribosomal RNA", at positions 30 to 507 of the family's 1533-position model. The record is from RNAcentral.
AUUGAACGCUGGCGGCAGGCUUAACACAUGCAAGUCGAGCGGAGACUUCGGUCUUAGCGGCGAACGGGUGAGGAAUGCCUGGGAAUCUGCCUGUUAGUGGGGGAUAACGUUCCGAAAGGAACGCUAAUACCGCAUACGUCCUACGGGAGAAAGCAGGGGACCUUCGGGCCUUGCGCUAACAGAUGAGCCCAGGUCGGAUUAGCUAGUUGGUGGGGUAAAGGCUCACCAAGGCGACGAUCCGUAGCUGGUCUGAGAGGAUGAUCAGCCACACUGGAACUGAGACACGGUCCAGACUCCUACGGGAGGCAGCAGUGGGGAAUAUUGGACAAUGGGGGAAACCCUGAUCCAGCCAUGCCGCGUGUGUGAAGAAGGCCUUCGGGUUGUAAAGCACUUUAAGCGGGAGGAAGGCCUUGAGGAUAAUACCCUUGAGGAUUGACGUUACCCGCAGAAUAAGCACCGGCUAACUCUGUG